This 735-nucleotide ribosomal RNA is filed under the name uncultured bacterium. RNAcentral's name for it is "bacterial SSU rRNA". It matches the Rfam family "Bacterial small subunit ribosomal RNA", at positions 59 to 792 of the family's 1533-position model. The record is from RNAcentral.
CAGUCGAACGAAGCACUUUGCUUGAUCCCUUCGGGGUGAUUGCUUUGUGACUGAGUUGCGGACGGGUGAGUAACGCGUGGGUAACCUGCCUCAUACAGGGGGAUAACAGCUGGAAACGGCUGCUAAUACCGCAUAAGCGCACAGUACCGCAUGGUACGGUGUGAAAAACUCCGGUGGUAUGGGAUGGACCCGCGUCUGAUUAGCCAGUUGGCGGGGUAACGGCCCACCAAAGCGACGAUCAGUAGCCGACCUGAGAGGGUGACCGGCCACAUUGGGACUGAGACACGGCCCAAACUCCUACGGGAGGCAGCAGUGGGGAAUAUUGCACAAUGGGGGAAACCCUGAUGCAGCGACGCCGCGUGAGCGAAGAAGUAUUUCGGUAUGUAAAGCUCUAUCAGCAGGGAAGAAGAAAUGACGGUACCUGACUAAGAAGCCCCGGCUAACUACGUGCCAGCAGCCGCGGUAAUACGUAGGGGGCAAGCGUUAUCCGGAUUUACUGGGUGUAAAGGGAGCGCAGGCGGAUGGCUAAGUCUGAUGUGAAAGCCCGGGGCUCAACCCCGGGACUGCAUUGGAAACUGGUUAUCUUGAGUGUCGGAGAGGUAAGUGGAAUUCCUAGUGUAGCGGUGAAAUGCGUAGAUAUUAGGAGGAACACCAGUGGCGAAGGCGGCUUACUGGACGACAACUGACGCUGAGGCUCGAAAGCGUGGGGAGCAAACAGGAUUAGAUACCCUGGUA